GGCGAAAGAGUGAUCGUGAGUCAGUUUGAGGACCGGAGAGCUAAAUGGAGAGCACAGUGGACAGCGGACAACAAUUCCACGAUGCCCUACACAUGCAGCAACUGUGGCAGAGCCUGCCGUUCCAGGAUCAGCCCCAAUAGCCAUAUUCGAUGCUGAUAGACAAACCAGUGACUACCAGAGGCGCAGAACCCAUGGUCAACCACGACCGAUGGAGGCCACACACACAUAGGGUUGUAAAGAGAACUUUUGCAAUGUUGGCCUUCAGAUAUCAAAGUAUUGGGUACAAGAGAUGGGAUUUAUAUUGAAGUUGUAUAAAAUGUUGGUCAGUCCAAAUUUGGAGUACUGUGUGCAGUUUUGGUCACCUAUCUAUAAGAAAGAUACUGAAGAUUGAAAGAGUUCAGAGAAUUUCACUGCCAAAUAAUGGAACAAUGCAAUAUUGUCCCACAGCAUUUGACAGUUUUACCAUGGCAAUGCUGAAGUACAACAGCCACCCAUUGAAUACCUAUCUCCCAGGAUUGCUAAUGUCUACAUGUUUCUGCAAGCAAAGUACUGCAUAAGGAUUUUUCCACAUUACAGGGAAAAGAACUUCAAAUGCAUUCUUUAAGAAUGCCAAGAGUAUCAUGCUGUGUUAUGCUUCUGACAUCAUUUGUUGCUUUUCUCCAUGCACUGCAGGCAGACACCCCAUCACUGGAAGGGAAUGUCAAACAGAUGCAAAUAAUCUUGAGACUGAAAAAAUCUCCAGGGUCAGGGACCUCAAUCUGUAGAUGUGACCCAAUCUUGCGAUCUGACAAUGUGGUCCAAAGUGCUUUACAAUGGGAUAAAGUGCAACCAUGAACAGAAAAGACAAAAAAAGUAUGUGGCAAAACAAAGCUCCAAUGCCAUAUUCAAGUUUGCAAACAACACCACUUUCGUAGGCUGAAUCAAAGGUAGUGAUGAAUCAGCAUUUUAGGAGGGAGAUUGAAAAUCUAGCUGAGUGGUGUCACAACAACAACCUCUUACUCAAUGUCAGCAAGGCCAAGGAGCUAAUGAUUGACUUCAGGAGGAGGAAACCAGAGGUCCGUGUGCCAAUCCUUAUUAGGGAUCAGAGGUGAAGAGGAUCAGCAACUUUAAAUUCUUCAGUGUUAUCAUUUCAGAAGAUCUGUCCUGGACCCAGCAUGCAAGUGCAGUUACAAAGAAAGCACGGCAGUGCCUCUACUUACUUGGGAGUUGGUGAAGAUUUGGUAUGACAGUUAAAACUUUGAUAUACUUCUGUAGAUGUGUGGUGGAGAAUAUAUUGACUGACUGUAUCACAGCCUGGGAUGGAAGCACUAAUACCCUUAAAUGGAAAAUCCUACAAAAAGUAGUGGAUAUGGCCCAGUCCAUCACCGGUAAAGCCCUCCCCACCGCUGAGCACUGAAAUGUUCCCUCAACUUAUGGACUCACUUUCUAGGACUCCUCAUCUCCUGUCCUUAGUAUUUAUUGCUUAUUUAUUAUUAUUGUUUUCUUUCUUUUUAUAUUUGCACAGUUUGUUGUCUUUUGCUCAUUGGCUAUUUCUGACCUUUUGCUGCAAUCUUUCAUUGAUUCUAUUAUGAUUAUUGGAUUUAUUGAGUAUGCCUGCAAGAAUAUGAAUCUCAGGGUUGUAAAUGGUGACAUAUAUGUACUUUGAUAAUAAAUUUACUUUGAAACUUUGAAGAUUGUGCUGUUGCAGGAAAUCACUGUCCAAUUCAUUCAUUAAAACAGUGAUUGUUAUUUUCUUCUAAAGCAAACAGCAUCCUUAGCUUUACAUGUUGAUUCAUCGCCCCUUUGCCUAAUCAACUACGGGUAGUUAUUUACAUACAGUAAGGUAAUUAGCUUUUAAAAUUAUGAGCAGAUUGCCCUCACAUACUUAGAAAGAAUAAGUUGAUAAACAUUUCUGUGACUGUUUUGUCAAUUAAAUAAUUGUGUUUUAAGUUAAAAAAUCUUUCAUUAGGUUGACCAAUCACUAAGAGAAAAUCUGCAGAUGCUGGACAAUGAUUAAAGAUUUGCUAUUUGUCACAUGUAUAUUGAAGCAUCAAAAUAUAUUGUGAAAUGCUUUAUUUCUGUUAGUGAUCAACACAGUCACAGUUAAUCCCUGAGUGAAACUUAUUUCAGCAAAAUUAGAAAACAAGCUAAAUUUUAAAGAAUUCCAUUUAUAUUUUGUCAGAAUAUAAUUUACUCAAGCAAUGAUAAUGACCAAUAUUCCAAGACCAGUCAUCUCCAAAACUCAAUAGGGUUUUGAUCCAAAGUUGGACAAGAGUUGGAUUCCAGCGAUCAGGUGACAGUGACCACCCUUGAUGUCAAGGCACUACUUCAUUGAGCAGCAUCUAGGAAUCUUGGAGAAAGAGAAGCCAGUUGGCAUUAACAGUCCACUAGGUGGAGUCAAAACUUGCACAGUGGUUGGCCGUGGUUGCUGAAUGUCUAUUAUCCCAGCCGCAGGCACCAUUGCAGAAGAUCCUCAGGACAGUGUUGUAGGUCCAGCCAUUGUCACCAUCAUCAAUGACCUUCCUUCCAUUACAAGGUCAGACAUGAGAAUGUACACUGAUAAAUGAACAAUGUUCAAUUCUGUUCUCAUCCUCAGAAAAAUGAAGUGGUCUACAUCUGCGUGCUUCAACACAUAGGCAAAUGUCAGAUUAACCUUUGUCCUAUACAUAUGGCAGGCUAUAUAUUCUUAAAUCAGAAUCGUGUAUGAACCAGCAAGCUGGGGUACUUCCAUGCACUGUUGUCUUUAUUGGUGCUAAAGGUUAGGGUCUUAGGAUUAACAAUAUGUAUUAAUCUUUGUUCUAUACAUAUGCCAAGCCAUAAUCAUCCACAAUAAAACAGGAUUUAACUAAUCAUUUUUGUUAUUCAACAACAUUGCCUUCACCAAAAUCUAACACCCCCAAAUUCAUUCCAUUGAUUGCAAGGUUCAAGAAAGUGGCUGACCUCAUUCUGGGUUGUUAAUGCUCACGUAUAAAAGCCCAUGUUCCAUACAUAAAUAAGCAAGCUAAAAUGUUUUACUUAAAUGAUCACUUGCUUCCUUCUCUUAAUGCUGGAAGUCUAGAGAAACACACACAAAAUGGUGGAGGAACUCAUAGAGUCAGGCAGCUUCUGUGGAGAAGAAUAAACAAGUCAACAUUUUAGGUUGAGAUCCUUCAUCAGGAUUCUCCAUAGAUCAGGGGUGGGCAAACUUUUUGACUUGAGGGCCACAAAGGGUUCUAAAAUUUGACAGGGGGGCUGGACCAGGAGCAGAUGGACAGAGUGUUUUGGUAAUACAACUCAUAAGAGAAAAUAAAAUAUCAUGGGAUAUGUAGAAAACAUGUGCUUUAAUUUCAAUUGAAAAUGAACAAAUGCAUUACAACAAAAUAUCUGUCUUUGAAGUCCCAUGGUAUUUAGCUAUUUAUUGAAAUGACUUUUAAAACACUGAAAAUUAAAUGAAUAAAAUACAGCUUUUUUAAUAGUAACAGUUAUUAUUUUAAAGCACUGAAAAUUCUGUUAUCCUUCAAGAUAUUAUCAUCAUCACUCUCCUCCUGCCUGUCUUUAUUUCAAAAACGGUAGGAGAUGCAGGUCUACUUGUCCUGCUCCUUCUUAUUCAAUUGUCCCCUGUGCCAAAACUCAACAACGACCCGCACAAUGACAGAACAGUGAGAACGCGCCAGUAUUUGGAGCGCGUUAUUUGAUCUGGAGCGCAUUUUUUAUUUUGAGAACGUACAUGCACCUGCGCACUACUCAUGUCCAUCACUUAACAGAAAUGACAUGUAACAUGUAAGGCUUAUUGAAAAAAAUAUUUUCAAAUGCAUUUUUUACAUAACACAACGAAGAAACUUAUUUUUAAUUUCAGUGGGAACAGCGUUGUUGGCCUCCCUUUUUAGCCAGCGCAUCAAAGUCUGGAUUUAGUUUUGUUGUGGCGAUUCUCAGGAUGGAUCUGAGAUGUUGGUCAGUUCACUUGGAUCUGUGGCUGGCUUUGUUGAUGUUCAUGACGCUGAACGCCUGUUCACACAAAUAGGUCGAGCCGAACAAAGAGUAAAGCGCAAAUGUGGAGCAAUACGCUGCACCUCAACAAAGGUCAAUGUGUAGCGGUGUGCUACAUGCAGCGCUAAAAUUACGACACGGAGUAGGUAACUGCGGUCGAAGAAAAAAACUUUAUUCGAAAUCCUCAGCCUCACUUUUAAGCCUCCCUCAACCUGUCCCCCUGCGCAGAGGCUCCAAAGCUCUGUGCUCGCAAAUCCCCGCAGGCUAUCUCCCUUAGCCGGAACGCUGGCUAAUUGUGAGCCGGUUCGGAUGUGCCAGGAAAUGGGUUGCCACAAAUGUAUAUAGAGUGCGUCAUCUAUUGGGAAAACACCAGAAUUGCGGGGAAAAAACGUUAACAAGGUUUAUUAAUAUAAUUUCAUCAAGUUCUGCGGGCCGGAUUAAAAAGCUUAACGGGCCGCAUAUGGCCCGCGGGCCGUAGUUUGCCCAUGACUGCCAUAGAUGCUCCCUGAACUGCUAAGUUCCACGAGCAUUUUGUGUAGGAGUAUAAUAACACUCAGUUCGACAAAAGACAAGGCAGUGAUGUGUCUGACAAAAAGGGAGUAUUACGCGGGAGAUAAAAUCUGUUUUCUUACUUAAAUCAACUACAAGGAUUUUGUUUAGAAAACUCAAAACAAAACUUCCUUUAAAAUCAAUAUAUUAAUCACGACAUUUCCUGCAUGUUUCUUAUCAUUCCC
Long non-coding RNA from Hypanus sabinus (Atlantic stingray), 4679 nucleotides. RefSeq lists it as uncharacterized. The transcript is spliced from 3 exons. The record is from RefSeq and is a predicted model, not a curated record. Lineage: Eukaryota; Metazoa; Chordata; Chondrichthyes; Myliobatiformes; Dasyatidae.